UGGAGUAUGUGGUUUAAUUCGAUGCAACGCGAAGAACCUUACCUGGUCUUGACAUCCCGGAGACCCUUAGGAAACUAGGGGUGCUUCCAUCUGGAAGAAUCUGGAGACAGGUGCUGCAUGGCUGUCGUCAGCUCGUGUCGUGAGAUGUUGGGUUAAGUCCCGCAACGAGCGCAACCCUUGCCUUUAGUUGCCAGCAGUUCGGCUGGGCACUCUAAAGGGACUGCCGGUGUUAAACCGGAGGAAGGUGGGGAUGACGUCAAGUCCUCAUGGCCUUUAUGACCAGGGCUACACACGUACUACAAUGGCCGAUACAAAGGGCAGCGACACUGCGAGGUGAAGCCAAUCCCGUAAAAUCGGUCUCAGUCCGGAUUGGAGUCUGCAACUCGACUCCAUGAAGUUGGAAUCGCUAGUAAUCGUGGAUCAGCAUGCCACGGUGAAUACGUUCCCGGGCCUU
This 454-nucleotide ribosomal RNA is filed under the name uncultured Desulfobulbus sp. Its description in RNAcentral is "bacterial SSU rRNA". It matches the Rfam family "Bacterial small subunit ribosomal RNA", at positions 933 to 1382 of the family's 1533-position model. Lineage: Bacteria; Pseudomonadati; Thermodesulfobacteriota; Desulfobulbia; Desulfobulbales; Desulfobulbaceae. The record is from RNAcentral.